Molecule: long non-coding RNA, 554 nt
Organism: Aedes aegypti (yellow fever mosquito)
Lineage: Eukaryota; Metazoa; Arthropoda; Insecta; Diptera; Culicidae
Exons: 2
Source: RefSeq, a predicted model, not a curated record
UUUGGUCUGAUUUCUCCGUGUACAAUUUAUGAACAUCACGUUCAGCCAACUUCACUUUGUUUACCCACCCGCAAUGUCAAAUUCAACGCGUUGCUCACAGUCACAACAGAUCACAAUCAGGAAAACAAAUGAAAACUAUCGUAGCUAGGUGAGCUAGGUAGUUGUUACUGUUGGGCCGUAACUUUCUGAACAGUUGGCGGAUUGUUUUCGGGAGAUUGCUGAGAUGCUGUGCCGUACUCGGAUAGUAACUUGUUGGAGGAACUGCGAACAGAGGGAGAGGACAAUCCGUUUCAUCCACGUCACGAAGUUAUGCUCAUUCGGGCGGACAAACGAAACCCCAAAAACUAAAGUCCAAAAACAUCGUUUGAAGAUGAGCUGGGACGCCAAUUUACAAUCGACAACAACAGCUGCGAACAUUAAGGGGAUCUGGAAAAUUCGAGUUUCCCAACUGUAAUGCAAAACGCCAAAAAUAAUGUAUCACAUAGACCACAUGACUAGUGAAAAACUUCUGGGAACUAAUAAAAUAAACAAUUCUAGUUCUAGUACAUUUCAAA